AGAGUUUGAUCCUGGCUCAGAACGAAAGCAGGCGGCGUGCUUAACACAUGCAAGUCGAGUGCGCGCCUGUAGCAAUACAGGUGGCGCACGGCGCACGGGUGCGUAACACGUGGGUACCUGCCCUUUGAUGGGGAAUAACCCCGCGAAAGCGGGGCUAAUACCGCAUAAGAUCCGCAAGGAUGAAAGCCGAAAGGCGUCGAAGGAGGGGCCUGCGCCCGAUUAGCUAGUUGGUAGGGUAAUGGCCUACCAAGGCUAUGAUCGGUAGCUGGUCUGAGAGGAUGGCCAGCCACACUGGAACUGAGACACGGUCCAGACUCCUACGGGAGGCAGCAGUGGGGAAUCUUGCACAAUGGGCGAAAGCCUGAUGCAGCGACGCCGCGUGGGGGAUGAAGCAUCUCGGUGUGUAAACCCCUUUCGACCCGGAAGAAUGCCUCGCAAGAGGACUGACGGUACGGGUAUAAGAAGCCCCGGCUAACUACGUGCCAGCAGCCGCGGUAAGACGUAGGGGGCCAGCGUUGUUCGGAAUUACUGGGUGUAAAGGGUUCGUAUGCGGUGCGGCAAGUUGGGAGUGAAAUCUCUGGGCUCAACCCAGAGGCUGCUUUCCAAAACUGCUGUGCUUGAGUGUGGGAGAGGCGCGUGGUAAUUGCAGGUGUAGCGGUGAAAUGCGUAGAUAUCUGCAGGAACACCCGUGGCGAAAGCGGCGCGCUGGACCACUACUGACGCUGAGGAACGAAAGCUAAGGGGAGCAAACAGGAUUAAGAUACCCUGGUAUUCCUAUCCCUUAACGUUCAGGACUGGGGGGCCCCCGUUCUGGUGUCGUCCGGAACUUAACCGUAA
RNAcentral lists this ribosomal RNA (837 nucleotides) under uncultured bacterium. Its description in RNAcentral is "bacterial SSU rRNA". It matches the Rfam family "Bacterial small subunit ribosomal RNA", at positions 8 to 860 of the family's 1533-position model. The record is from RNAcentral.